Molecule: ribosomal RNA, 386 nt
Filed under: uncultured bacterium
Lineage: Bacteria
Description: bacterial SSU rRNA
Rfam family: Bacterial small subunit ribosomal RNA
Source: RNAcentral
AUUGAACGCUGGCGGCAUGCCUUACACAUGCAAGUCGAACGGUAACAGGCCGCAAGGUGCUGACGAGUGGCGAACGGGUGAGUAAUACAUCGGAACGUGCCCGAGAGUGGGGGAUAACGGAGCGAAAGCUUUGCUAAUACCGCAUACGAUCUACGGAUGAAAGCAGGGGACCGCAAGGCCCUUGCGCUCAUGGAGCGGCCGAUGGCAGAUUAGGUAGUUGGUGGGUAAAGGCUCACCAAGCCAACGAUCUGUAGCUGGUCUGAGAGGACGACCAGCCACACUGGAACUGAGACACGGUCCAGACUCCUACGGGAGGCAGCAGUGGGGGAAUUUUGGACAAUGGACGCAAGUCUGAUCCAGCAAUGCCGCGUGCAGGAGAAGGCCUC